AAUGAACGCUGGCGGCGUGCUUAACACAUGCAAGUCGAACGGUAACAGGAAGUAGCUUGCUACUUUGCUGACGAGUGGCGCACGGGUGAGUAAUAUAUAGAUAAUGUGCCUCUUAGUCUGGGAUAGCCAUUGGAAACGAUGAUUAAUACUGGAUACUCCUUCUAAACUCAAGUUUAGUUGGGAAAGUUUUUCGCUAAGAGAUCGGUCUAUAUCCCAUCAGCUAGUUGGUAGUGUAAGAGACUACCAAGGCGAUGACGGGUAGCGGGUUUGAGAGGAUGAUCCGCCACACUGGUACUGAGACACGGACCAGAUUCCUACGGGAGGCAGCAGUGAGGAAUAUUGCACAAUGGGGGAAACCCUGAUGCAGCAACGCCGCGUGGAGGAUGACGCAUUUCGGUGUGUAAACUCCUUUUAUAUGUCAAGAAAAUGACGGUAGCAUGUGAAUAAGCACCGGCUAACUCCGUGCCAGCAGCCGCGGUAAUACGGAGGUGGCGAGCGUUGUUCGGAUUUAUUGGGCGUAAAGGGUCCGCAGGGGGCCGGUUAAGUCUGAUGUGAAAUCCCGGGGCUCAACCCCGGAACUGCAUUGGAAACUGAUUGGCUAGAGUACCGGAGAGGAAAGUGGAAUUCCAGGUGUAGCGGUGGGAUGCGUAGAUAUCUGGAAGAACACCAAAAGCGAAGGCAGCUUUCUGGACGGUUACUGACCCUCAGGGACGAAAGCGUGGGGAGCAAACAGGAUUAGAUACCCUGGUAGUCCACGCCGUAAACUUUGUGUACUUGAUGUGGGGGGAUUUAGCCCCCUCCGUGUCGGAGCUAACGCGUUAAGUACACCGCCUGGGGACUACGGCCGCAAGGCUAAAACUCAAAGGAAUUGACGG
RNAcentral lists this ribosomal RNA (875 nucleotides) under uncultured Campylobacterota bacterium. RNAcentral describes it as "bacterial SSU rRNA". It matches the Rfam family "Bacterial small subunit ribosomal RNA", at positions 28 to 916 of the family's 1533-position model. Lineage: Bacteria; Pseudomonadati; Campylobacterota. The record is from RNAcentral.